Molecule: ribosomal RNA, 507 nt
Filed under: uncultured Pseudoclavibacter sp.
Lineage: Bacteria; Bacillati; Actinomycetota; Actinomycetes; Micrococcales; Microbacteriaceae
Description: bacterial SSU rRNA
Rfam family: Bacterial small subunit ribosomal RNA
Source: RNAcentral
GUCGUCGCAGUCUAGACGUAGUAGUUGACUCGUCGCUACGAGAGACGCUGGCGGCGUGCUUAACACAUGCAAGUCGAACGAUGAAGCCCAGCUUGCUGGGUGGAUUAGUGGCGAACGGGUGAGUAACACGUGAGCAACGUGCCCAUAACUCUGGGAGUAACCUCCGGAAACGGUGGCUAAUACUGGAUAUCUAACGCGAUCGCAUGGUCUGUGUUUGGAAAGAUUUUUUGGUUAUGGAUCGGCUCACGGCCUAUCAGCUUGUUGGUGAGGUAAUGGCUCACCAAGGCGACGACGGGUAGCCGGCCUGAGGGGGUGACCGGCCACACUGGGACUGAGACACGGCCCAGACUCCUACGGGAGGCAGCAGUGGGGAAUAUUGCACAAUGGGCGAAAGCCUGAUGCAGCAACGCCGCGUGAGGGAUGACGGCCUUCGGGUUGUAAACCUCUUUUAGUAGGGAAGAAGCGAAAGUGACGGUACCUGCAGAAAAAGCACCGGCUAACUACGUG